RNAcentral lists this ribosomal RNA (884 nucleotides) under uncultured Parvimonas sp. Its description in RNAcentral is "bacterial SSU rRNA". It matches the Rfam family "Bacterial small subunit ribosomal RNA". The record is from RNAcentral. Lineage: Bacteria; Bacillati; Bacillota; Tissierellia; Tissierellales; Peptoniphilaceae.
GACGAACGCUGGCGGCGUGCUUAACACAUGCAAGUUGAACGAGAAUUUUUCCAGUGAUUUCUUCUCAAUGAUCAUGAAAGAGGAAAUUAGCGAACGGGUGAGUAACACGUGAGAAACCUGCCUUUCACAAAGGGAUAGCCUCGGGAAACCGGGAUUAAUACCUUAUGAAACCAAACAAUCGCAUGAUACAUUGGUUAAAGAUUUAUCGGUGUUAGAUGGUCUCGCGUCUGAUUAACUCGUUGGUGGGAUAAAAGCCUACCAAGGCGACGAUCACUAGCCGGAUUGAGAGGUUGAACGGCCACACUGGAACUGAGACACGGGCCACACUCCUACGGGAGGCACCCCUGGGGAAUUUUGCACAGUGGAAGAAACUCUGAUGCAGCAACGCCUCAUGAGUGAUGAACAUCUUCGGAUUGUAAAACUCUGUCCUUAGUGAAUAUAAUGACAGUAACUAUGAAGCCAGCCCUGGCUAAAUACGUGCCAGCAGCCUCGGUAAUACCUAUGGGGCAAGCGUUGUCCGGAAUUAUUGUGCGUAAAGGGUACGUACGCGGUUGAAUAAGUCCUAAUUAAAAGGCUAUGGGUCAACCAUAGUAUGGUUAGCAAACUGUUGAACUUGAGUAUAUGAGGGGAAAGUGGAAUUCCAUGUGUUGCAGUUAAAUGCGUAGAUAUGUGGUGGAACACCAAUGGGGAAAAGCAACUUUUUUGGAUGCAUCUUUCUCUGAGGUACCAAAGCGUGGGGAGCAAACACGAUUUGAUAUACUGGGUAUUCAUAUGCUGAAUCUCCCAUGGGAAUAACCUCAGGGUACCCCCACACCGAGGGGGGUUAUAAAAAACAAAAAUAAAUCACUCAAUGGAGGUGCCGUUUGGCCAGCGUCUCACAACUC